This is a long non-coding RNA of Ipomoea nil (Japanese morning glory), 196 nucleotides long. RefSeq lists it as uncharacterized. The record is from RefSeq and is a predicted model, not a curated record. Lineage: Eukaryota; Viridiplantae; Streptophyta; Magnoliopsida; Solanales; Convolvulaceae. The transcript is spliced from 4 exons.
AUAAUUAUCCUCUUGCAAAGUGUAUGCAGCUUGGGUUGUAGCUAGAUCUGGUUGUUGGUCCAUGUUUAAGGGUGGUUUUGUUGCUAAUGUUUCUGGCCCUAGUGAAUUACAUUUUGAGUGCAAUAAUACCCAAACUGAGAUAUGGGCAGAUAGCAUAUCAGUAAAAGCAUUCACUCCAGAGGAAUGGGUAUCACAU